This 484-nucleotide ribosomal RNA is filed under the name uncultured bacterium. RNAcentral's name for it is "bacterial SSU rRNA". It matches the Rfam family "Bacterial small subunit ribosomal RNA", at positions 30 to 504 of the family's 1533-position model. The record is from RNAcentral.
AUUGAACGCUGGCGGCAUGCUUUACACAUGCAAGUCGAACGGCAGCACAGGGAGCUUGCUCCUGGGUGGCGAGUGGCGCACGGGUGAGUAAUACAUCGGAACGUGUCCUAUCGUGGGGGAUAACUGAGCGAAAGCUCGGCUAAUACCGCAUAAGACCUGAGGGUGAAAGUGGGGGAUCGAAAGACCUCAUGCGAUUGGAGCGGCCGAUGCCCGAUUAGCUAGUUGGUGAGGUAAAGGCUCACCAAGGCGACGAUCGGUAGCUGGUCUGAGAGGACGACCAGCCACACUGGGACUGAGACACGGCCCAGACUCCUACGGGAGGCAGCAGUGGGGAAUUUUUGGACAAUGGGGCAACCCUGAUCCAGCCAUGCCGCGUGCAGGAUGAAGGUCUUCGGAUUGUAAACUGCUUUUGUCAGGGAGAAAAGGUACGUGCUAAUACCACGUACUGCUGACGGUACCUGAAGAAUAAGCACCGGCUAACUAC